GCAUCGAUAGUUCCGUGGCGAGUGGUGGGGCGUUGACCCAUGCGGCCCGGGUUCAACCCCCGAUCGAUGCA
Molecule: non-coding RNA, 71 nt
Organism: Phthorimaea operculella (potato tuberworm)
Lineage: Eukaryota; Metazoa; Arthropoda; Insecta; Lepidoptera; Gelechiidae
Source: the annotation of a GenBank genome assembly